UAUCUGCUGUACGUUUAUACAGGAGCUUGUGUUGUACGUUUAAAUGCCACGACGAAGUUUUGUUUAAACUCUAAUGCGGUGUACAUAUAAUAAUUCUACAUCGAGUGCACUUGCUGUAUUUUCAUUCGGUGGGCCUAAAUUCCGACGGACUUUUAGACUUAUAAUUGGAAAAGGGAAUUGAAACAUCAUGAAGUUCUGGAUGACUGUCCUCUCCUUGCUUGUAGCAAUCAUUCCUAAUCUUGUCGCAGCCGAUCCAUUAGACAAUAUAAAUAAACCAGCACUGGCCCUCAUCCUCAUCCCAGCAUGUCUCAUCUUCUUCAUGAUCUUUAUUUACACCUCACCUUCAGAUGAUGACGAGAACGACAGGGAUGAUGACAUCGAGAACCCGGCCGAACCCGACUACGAAAACACUUUCUUAUAAAAUUGUACAUGGAAACCUGUAUUCAAAAAAUAAUAAUGAUAAAAAAAAACGCCAAAUGAAGACUCAAAAAGAGGUCUUUAUCACUUGAUCAGCAGGUGGUUAUUAAAGACCAGUUUCCAUUAACGUACUUAUGUUUCAGUAAGAAUCGCUCAAAGGAUUACAAAAAUGAGGUCUUUAUACGCAGGUAUUACUUCUAUACUAGAAAGUAGAUUUGACUGUGUAUCUUCCCUGUGGUGUAACAUCAUACUUAUAGGCGAUAACCUUUGAUCUUUAGCGUACAUGCUUUCGUAAAAAGGUCUGCAUUAUCAAGUAUAUUUUCCUUCAAAAAAGACCCCUUUUGGUGUUUAAAACAAAAAAAGUUACGAAAUGGGCUCUCCAUGCAACCCUAUAAUGGCUUAUCGAGAAGGCCAACACAUCCACAAAUAAAGUAUUUUCGCAGAACAGAAACAUACGCAAACUUCGUGAAAAUGAUUAUUUUCGUGAAAUGUCAUGCUCUUACCCCCCACCCCCCCCCCCAUACCCUCUUUUCAAAUACUUCAACAUGACCAAAAUUACUCCUUUUGAAGAGAGAAAGUUUGAGGCUUCCAUCUUUCUUAUCAUGAACAUUGAAGGAAAACAGGUAGAAUACAGAGUAUGAAAUCUGGCCCUAUGAUGAAUACAAUAAGUUGUAAAUAUAGUGCCAAUUGUAAAUAUUUAUUCCCUUUUAAAAAAUAUUAUUCUUUGUUAGUACGAAUCGAAAUUCGUUAUGCCAAAUAUGAAAAAAGAAUAUUGUGUAGUUUGACAUCGCGUCUAAUUAUGGGACUUCGGACUAGGGUAGGGGUACGGGCGAGACCAAGGAUGCCCCUUUAGUAUUAUCCAUUAUCUCCUUUCAAUAAAGAGCUUUCCUAUUUGAAACUAGCAUUAACUCAGCCAUAUAAACCUAUUAGCAUGAUUCCCAGGAAGCAUAUCAAAUUGCCAUUCUUUAAUAUUUUGAAGGUGUAUUGUUUUUGGCACAAGCGACUAGUGAACCAUUUCCGUAUCUUAGCACCACCUACUCCCCCUCCAAUCAUUAAAAAAAGGGAAUAUAUUCUUUAGGAAUUGUAUUCUGUAUCAUAGGCCUAAUAUGCAUACAAUGUAAAUAUUGUGUAUAUGUGCAGACUUAUAGUUUUUUUUAUAUUUCAUACUGUAUUUUGUUUCAUAAUUUGUAAUUGAAUUAAAAAAAAAGAGAAAUGUGAUAGCUUUUAAAUGUAUACAAUUGAAUGUGAAUAACAUUAAAGGUUUAUGUAUAUAACGAUAAGAUGAAA
This 1704-nucleotide long non-coding RNA is filed under the name Strongylocentrotus purpuratus (purple sea urchin). Its description in RNAcentral is "uncharacterized LOC588339". The record is from RNAcentral. Lineage: Eukaryota; Metazoa; Echinodermata; Echinoidea; Camarodonta; Strongylocentrotidae.